AAUAUAUUUCUUUUAUUAUAA
RNAcentral lists this transfer RNA (21 nucleotides) under Dolichovespula saxonica. Its description in RNAcentral is "partial tRNA-Leu". Lineage: Eukaryota; Metazoa; Arthropoda; Insecta; Hymenoptera; Vespidae. RNAcentral also lists the same sequence under 1 other name. The record is from RNAcentral.